RNAcentral lists this long non-coding RNA (1141 nucleotides) under Homo sapiens (human). RNAcentral describes it as "HSALNT0308290". The record is from RNAcentral. Lineage: Eukaryota; Metazoa; Chordata; Mammalia; Primates; Hominidae.
CCCCACUCUCUUCUGGCUUGUAGAGUUUCUGCCAAGAGAUCCGCUGUUAGUCUGAUGGGCUUCCCUUUGUGGGUGACCCAACCUUUCUCUCUGGCUGCCCUUAACAUUUUUUCCUUCAUUUCAACCUUGGUGAAUCUGACAAUUAUGUGUCUUGGGGUUGCUCUUCUCGAGGAGUAUCUUUGUGAUGUCCUCUGUAUUUCCUGAAUUUGAAUGUUGGCCUGCCUUGCUAGAUUGGGGAAAUUCUCCUAGAUAAUAUCCUGAAGAGUGUUUUCCAGCUUGGUUCCAUUCUCCCCGUCACUUUCAGGUACACCAAUCAAGCGUAGAUUUGGUCUUUUCACAUAGUCCCUUGGAGUCACGUAGUUUCUUGGAGGCUUUGUUUGUUUCUUUUUACUCUUUUUUCUCUAAACUUCUCUUCUCGCUUCAUUUCAUUAAUUUGAUCUUCAAUCACUGAUACCCUUUCUUCCACUUGAUUGAAUCAGCUACUGAAGCUUGUGCAUGUGUCAUGUAGUUCUCCUGCCAUGGUUUUCAGCACCAUCAGGUCAUUUAAGGUCUUCUCUACACUGUUUAUUCUAGUUAGCCAUUCGUCUAAUCUUUUUUCAAGGUUUUUAGCUUCCUUGCGAUGGGUUCGAACAUCCUCCUUUAGCUCAGGGAAAUCUGUUAUUACCGACUUUCUGAAGACUACUUCUGUCAACUUGUCAAAGUCAUUCUCUGUCCAGCUUUGUUCCAUUGCUGGCGAGGAGCUGUGAUCCUUUGGAGGAGAAGAGGCACUCAGUUUUUAGAAUUUUCAGCUUUUCUGCUCUGGUUUCUUCCCAUCUUUGUGGUUUUAUCUACCUUUGGUCUUUGAUGAUGGUGACCUACAGAUGGGGUUUUGUUGUGGAUGUCCUUUUUGUUGAUGUUAAUGCUAUUCCUUUCUGUUUCUUAGUUUUCCUUCUAACAGUCAGGUCCUUUAGCUGCAGGUCUGCUGGAGUUUGCUGGAGGUCCACGCCAGACCCUGUUUGCCUGGGUAUCACCAGUAGAGGUUCAGUUGGAAAUGCAGAAAUCACCCAUCUUCUGCAUUGAUCACGCUGGGAGCUGCGCACUGGAGCUGUUCCUAUUUGGCCAUCUUGGAAUGGACCCUCUAAACCUUUUUAAUAAACUUUUC